This 1352-nucleotide ribosomal RNA is filed under the name uncultured soil bacterium. RNAcentral describes it as "16S ribosomal RNA". It matches the Rfam family "Bacterial small subunit ribosomal RNA", at positions 93 to 1450 of the family's 1533-position model. The record is from RNAcentral.
GAGCGGCGAACGGGUGAGUAACACGUGAACAACCUGUCCCUACAUUCCGGAUAAUUGACCGAAAGGUCUUGUAAUACGGGGGAGGGUCUUGAUGGGGCAUCUCAUUAGGAAGGAACGAGCAAUCGGUGCAGGGAGGGGUUCGCGGAUUAUCAGCUUGUUGGUGAGGUAACGGCUCACCAAGGCGACGACGAUUAGCUGGUCUGAGAGGAUGGUCAGCCACAUUGGAACUGAGACACUGUCCAGACUCCUACGGGAGGCUGCAGUCGAGAAUCUUGGGCAAUGCACGAAAGUGUGACCCAGCGACGCCGCGUGGAGGACGAAGGCCCUUGGGUCGUAAACUCCUUUUACGAGAGAAGAAUGAGCCGCAAGGCUUUUGACGGUAUCUCGUGAAUAACUCACGGCUAACUACGUGCCAGCAGCCGCGGUAAUACGUAGGUGGCAAGCGUUGUCCGGAUUUACUGGGCGUAAAGCGUAUGCAGGCGGACCUUUAAGUAGGAAGUGAAAGGUAAGAGCUCAACUCUUACACUGCUCCCUAUGCUGGGGGUCUUGAGUACCGGAGAGGACAAGGGAACAGGUCGUGUAGCGGUGAAAUGCGUUGAGAUGACUUGGAACACCAAUGGCGAAAGCACUUGUCUGGACGGAGACUGACGCUGAGAUACGAAAGCCAAGGGAGCGAACAGGAUUAGAUACCCUGGUAGUCUUGGCCAUAAACGAUGUUCACUAGGUGUCGGGGGGACUCCUUCGGUGCCGCAGCUAACGCAUUAAGUGAACCGCCUGGGGACUACGGCCGCAAGGUUGAUACUCAUAUGAAUUGGCGGGGGGCCGCACAACCGGUGGAUCAUGUGGCUUAAUUCGAUGCAACGCGAAGAACCUUACCAUGGCUUGACAUGGAGCUGCAAGCUCGUGAAAGCGACUCGCUUUCGAAAGGUGCUUCACAGGUGGUGCAUGGCUGUCGUCAGCUCGUGUUGUGAAAUGUUGGGUUAAGUCCCGCAACGAGCGCAACCCUCAUGUUUUGUUGCCAGCGGGUAAUGCCGGGAACUCGAAACAAACUGCCUCUGUAAAGAGGAGGAAGGUGGGGAUGACGUCAAGUCAUCAUGCCCCUUACGCCCUGGGCUGCACACAUGCUACAAUGGCCGGUACAAAGAGUUGCUAACCCGCGAGGGUGUGCUAAUCUCAAAAAGCCGGUCUCAGUUCGGAUAGGAGGCUGCAACUCGCCUCCUUGAAGCCGGAAUCGCUAGUAACCGCCGGUCAGCAAUACGGCGGUGAAUACGUUCCCGGGCCUUGCACACACCGCCCGUCACGCCACGGAAGUCGGAUUUACCCGAAGUCAGCGCGCCAACCGCAAGGAAGGC